CACCAGUGCAGCCGGCGCAGGCCAGCGACCAGGCACCACAACCAGUGCCACCAUCAAUUGUCGCCCCUGCCGCACCGGCUGCCAACUGUGCGCCACCGGCCGCAUGUGAGCCAGCAGCUGCCCAAGCUGGCCAUGAUAGUGGGAUAGUGGGUUGCAAGGAUGUACAAUCCGUUAGUGUGCAAAAUGCCAACCACCGAAGUCUUAAGAACUUUAGGCAGCCUCCUUGCUUCACAGGAGUGCCCAGUACCUCGGUCACAAAACCUGAAAUCUGGUUUGAUACUACCGUUGACUACAUGACGCGAUCGGGCAGCAAUCCCAUAAUGGGCAUGCGAUAUUAUGUUAUGGGCAAAGCUGCAGAGUGGUACCAUGACCUAUUCACACACAAAGGCUCCAUGCUCACAAUUCAGGGCAUGUGUGACGACUUUGUGUUGCUUUUCAGUGAUGUGCGCCGCUGCACCCCUCACCAUGUAUGAAUGCAACUACUGGCCGGCAUACACACAAUGAAACCUGGCGAGUCCAUACCGAAUUAUGUGCAACGGUUUCGUGGAAUUAUGCGUGGCGACCCUAACAUGUCUCAAAUUGACUUGUGCACUUGGCUUGUUUAUGGUACGCCACCGCAACUGCGGCAGGAAUGCGCCACGGAUGCCAACGGCAAUAACUGGUUUGCAUUCGACACAUUAAUUAACUUUGCCCAAGGUGCACAAACGAGCCACAAGGCAGGCAAGGUGCAAACAGCAUGACUUAACUUUUUAGCCACUAAUGAUGCCCCUGCACAACCCCGACAGAAUGGCGGCCACGGCAAGCACACCCAACCGGGUGGAUACAGCCACUGGGCCGACUACAACCACCUGGUCUGGUCUGGGUUGACACUACUGCAAGAACUUUUUAGCCACUAAUGAUGCCCCUGCACAACCCUGACAGAAUGGCGGCCACGGCAAGCACACCCAACCGGGUGGAUACAGCCACUGGGCCGACUACAACCACCUGGUCUGGUCUGGGUUGACACUACUGCAAGUAGCGGUUUAAGGUCCUGGGUUCGAUUCCUGGGGAGACCCCCGAAUUAGUCGGGAGCGCGAGAUUAUGGCUAGCUGCUGAGAUUUGGAGUUGAGGUCACAUUUGAUGGACCAGAUUCGCACGCUGGAUUGGUGGCGAUUGCCGAACCCUCUGUCUCUUAGGGUGUUCGGGUGAAUGGAUGAGGAGGGGUCCCUGAAGGCUGGAUCCGCCGCCUUGGACUUACAGUUCGUAUGGCGAAGUACAGUGUGGUAGUGGUGGAUGGUGCUAUAAGGUGAUAAAUGAUCUAGAACUGACAAUGUGAUAAAGCGGCCCAGAAGCCUCCCACUCUGUAACAUUACAUUACAUUACAUCACAACCACCAAGGUGGCCGCUACGGAGGCCGCGGUGGCAGUUGUGGUGGCGCCUAUGGCGGCCGUGGCCGAGGCAGCAACAUGGAAAUGCCGACAUGGGUUCGGGAGAUGGUGAAGGAAAAGAACAUCUAUCAUUGUGGACAGCCCUUUGGCAAGGGCCACCACUGCGGCAAAUGGCGGCGUUACAACAAGGACCGCAAAAAAAAUGCGGUUGCCUAGGAAGUUGCCCACAUCAUAGCCUCAGGCAGCUCGUGUGGGGAGCCGAUGGACAUAGAGGAACCAACCCGGAAUCCACCAACGGUGGACUGUAGCCACUGUGUGCUUCGUUCAGUGUUUCUGCAUCUGCAGAAGGCCCCGGGUCGGGUGUUCGUGAUCGAUGCAUCCUGUAACAUAUGAAGCGAC
This 1766-nucleotide long non-coding RNA is filed under the name Volvox carteri. Its description in RNAcentral is "long non-coding RNA (VCAR_LNC003341)". Lineage: Eukaryota; Viridiplantae; Chlorophyta; Chlorophyceae; Chlamydomonadales; Volvocaceae. The record is from RNAcentral.